RNA transcript from Salvia splendens (bonfire salvia), 5416 nucleotides. It is a transcript of the gene named fanconi anemia group D2 protein, with no coding region annotated. The record is from RefSeq and is a predicted model, not a curated record. Lineage: Eukaryota; Viridiplantae; Streptophyta; Magnoliopsida; Lamiales; Lamiaceae. The transcript is spliced from 5 exons.
AUUUUAGAAUUAUGUGAAAAGAAAUCAAAUUUGUUCGUAGUUAUUUCAUGAUAAUAUUUUUGAUGAACUUUUAUCUAACAACCAAGAAAUUAUAUGUGAACUCAUCGGUAUUGAGUUAAAUAGUAUUGUCUGAGCAUAUAAAACCACAUGCCAAUAUGAGUUUUUAAAAUCGCAUGAAAAUAAAAAGUUGACUAAAUUGUAAUUUACAUAUUUUAUCCUUUUUAAUUGAUAUAGAAAUGUUUUAAAAAUGUAAAAAUAAAAAGAGAAAUUGCAAAACGGGGAUUUGAGUUUGACUCCGACCAAGUAGUGCAGAACAGUCGUCUCUACUCUGCUAAAAGCGUAUCAAUGAUGCGAACAAGGAUUUUGUGGUUUGGUGUAGGUUUCGCCUCUGCUUCUGGAGCAAUUGCGCAGUUUGUGCUCAAGGAUCUGUGGACGGAUCGCACUUCCCUUGCUUCUCAGGUGACGGAAAAGUUCGAUUCGCUGGAUGCGCGAGUGUUUAAUCUGGAGUCUGUGAUUUCCAGCAAUCAUACUUCACCUCAGGGAAAAAGGAGAGAGAGGUGUGUGAAUAACAGGGAUGGAUCUUCAUCAACUUAAGGAUGCGGUGUACUGGUGUCUGGAUGAAGGGAAUCUUGGAUGAAGGUUCUGAUUUUUUGCAGCAUAUGCAUAUGAUCCUACAGCUGUUCUACUGUUCUUUCUGAAGAUUGGAUGUAUUUACAUUACUUUUGAGAUUUUUGAAUGGCAGUGAUCUACUCAUAUCCAUCUUGACUUUGUCACAUACAUUAUGCUUUCAAUGUCAUCUAGUAUGUUAUAAUUCGAUAUGGAAUUCAUUAACUUGUCCUUUGUGAUUGGAUUAUGGAAUCAUUAAUUGCCCUUCCAUGUUGCAGUAGCUUAUCUGUUAAUGAUGAUGAUGUUGUUUGGAAAUUUAGUCCCUCAUAACACAUAAGUGACAUGUUGCAUCCAGAUUCUAAGGAUCUGGAAUGAUAUCAAAUUCCAGCAUAAUAUAACUGAAUUAAAAAAAAGAAAAAAGAUUUAGACUAUUUGGAUCAUUCUCGAGUGCACAGAAAUUUAGCUGCCCACUCAAAACAACACAAGGCAGCAUAAGAUAUUCAGCUGCUGCAUUAUAUGGCUAUUGUGCCAGCUGCCAAGUAUUUGAACACAAUGGCUGAGAACAAAUUAAUUUAACUAUUUUAAUUGAAAUUCCUACAUUUGUCAAAAGUCCUACUGUGUUACAGAGUGUUAGUGCCUAUAUAGCUGUUGUGAAAUUUUCUAUCCGUCUCUCUGAUACAUUGUCAUUCACAUGAUCCAAACAGUUAUAUUUCAUCGGCUGAGGAAAUUUUUACAACUUGCCAUACAAGGGGUUUCUCUAUGUGUACAGUCAUUAGGUUGUUAGCAUCUCCUAUAGUUUUUCUACAAUGUUACUUAUUGUUCUGGACCAUCUUCUGAGUCAUCACCUGUAUGAUUUGUUGCUCCACUUUCUAUGGUACCACCAUUAUGAGGGUUGAUUGAUCCACCUGAUGAAUGAUGAGUUUGGUCGUGGUGUUCUUUGAUUGUCCAAAUGGGAACCAAGAUCACUAGCACCACUGACAGGAACAACAAUGCUGACCAUAGCAAUCGUAUGUAUCUCCUUAGUGGCUUGCAAUGUUUGUUAAGAAUUUCGGACAAGGCAUCCUUGAUUGGCCUACACUCAACAAGGCCUUCUAUGCUAGGAAAUUGAUCGAGUAAUAUUUGUAUAGAAGUGCAGUAUGCUCCUAUUGAGUUGUAGUAAUCUGCAGGAACCAGAAUUCCUCCAUUACAUGUGGUCUGGGUAUCAGGACAGGCUAUCUGUUCUAUAACCUUCAGAAGCAAGAGAUCUGUUCUUAGUUUAACAUCGCCCUCAAGAAAAAUUGUUGGUCUCGGUGAGUCUCUCUCUCUCUCUCUCUCUCUCACACGCACACACACAUAAAGAAGUUGGGAGCUUUGAUGUGAGUGUGUAAAGUAGAUUCAGUUUUCAUAGGUCCCCUUACCUUAGGAAUAUCUCCUAUUCGCACAGAUGUGUUUGGACAGUUCCAUGGCUGGUAGUCAUGUGCAGGUGUUGGGGAGAAAGGAUUGCAAAUCUGAAUAAUUCCUCCAUAUGAUAUAGAUAUAUUUUCGUUUACCUGCAAUAGUUGAUCUCAAGAAUGUAAGCCACAGAACAUUCUCCUUUUCCUUUGCACGAGUGGUAUGAAUAUGAUAAUGAUAUCAGGUAAAAAAUUUCUAAAUAAUUAAAGAAAAAGCAAUGCACUAGGUCUUCCACUGAAAUAUAUUAUGCCCAUCAUGAAUAGUUUGGAUCUCUUAAUGACACAGGGAACUGAGAUCACCCCAGAAUCCAUUAGACCAGUUGAGUGCCAUGAAAGAUGAAGUCUUAUUGCAUAUAAUAAGAUUGUCAUCUAUGGCUCGAUAAUAUUCUAGUUAAAUUUUCUUCAACUUUCUUUCAUUCACAAGUUCAAAUGUUGAUAUGUUCUAUUAAUUGGACUUGAGCACCUUUGAACUAUACUUGCAAAGGGUUUAUAGUUUAUACCACCUAAUAAAUUACCAUGACAAAUAGAUGAACCAACAAACAUUUUAUUCAUACAGAAUACAUUUCUUAUAACUGCUUAUCAGCUUACCUUAUUCACUAAGUUGUGUAUCCCUGCAGUAACAUUAUUAAGCAUUGGUUUUGCAGAAAGCAAUUGUUCACAGGGUAGAAUGGGACUCAAGCUGUUGUUAUAAGGAUUCUUCUGGAAGCCUUCAAGUGCUCUGCAUGUGUCUCCCGUCAAGCUGAAAGUUUUUAUCCCUUUAGUUGAUCCGAUGGACAUGUAUAUGCAAGUCAAAUAUUGUACUAGAAUUUAUUUUUAUCUAGAUAUAUCCAUACAUUUUUUGGUUCACAUCAAUUGUUUUGGAGCUGGGAGGUGAAAACUUACGUUUGUAGGAAGAAGCUUAUCCCAAAAAGCCACCAACAGAAGAAAGUUAACAUCCAGCAAACUGCUAUUAAUCUGCAAUGGGGUAAAUCCGUUAGAAAUUAUUUCAUUUUAAUCAAAUGAGUAUUCUAUGUAUUAAUUCCUUGAGCUUACACUUGAAAGGGCCUCUGAAAGCUUGAAACUCCAAGUGCUGUAAUAACAAGAGCAUUUUGUGAAGAGAAGGAAAGUGCAGGAAAGAAAGCUUGACUGUUAUCACUAUUGACAGUUUUCUUUUAACAGAAGAUUAAUUUGUUUUAACAUAACUCGUCUUUGGAAUCAGAGUAGCAGCUAGGUGCUCAUUUGGCCUUACCUAAGAGAGAGAUUACGACAAGUAGUGUAAGCGUUAUCGUCACUGUUGUCAUUGCGUAUCUGUCAAUACCAGAAAGUAGUAAUCAUAGAUCUAUAUUGGCUUCGAAUAAACAUAAAACAGGGGGAGCAAUGAGAAUAUAUACGAUGUUUUCAGGCCCUUUUGUAUUAAGUUCCUGUUCUUGGAUGCAUGUGUUUUUAUAGCAGAACCUUGAGUUUCGAGCUUUAUGGUUGUUGAAUUUAUUAAUUGCUUGUUCUUUUCAUCCAUUUGUUGUUGUUGCAAAUUCUGGCUUAUUUCCUUCAUGGCUCCAGUUAUGUUGAAUAUUGUGUCAGAUACACCAUCUGCUGUGUCAAGAAGAAUUUCUACCACUUUCUCUGCUCUGGAAUGGGACUUUGAAUUACCUCCUAAAGCCAAGCCAGAGGCCGUUCUGAAAUGAUAGCAGCAGAAACUAGCCAAAAUAAUAGGUUGUAAAUGGUACUGCUCAUAACACGAUGAUUUGUUCUUGCGCUUUCUGCUCGUCCUGAAGCAAUCAGUUCUUACUAAAAGAAGAAUUCCAUAUCCUAUACCGCAUAGAAGCCAUAUUAGUGCAACAGCAUACCCGGGUAUGCCUGUAAAUGCCGUUGACUGCACAACAGAACAUAUGCUGUAAAAUAAGUCAACUUUUCAUUUUCGUUAAGAUGAAAGUGGUGGGAGCAAUAGCUAUACCAAUACUUACACUCCAGUAAUGGUCAUUUGUAACGUUAUAUCCUCCUCUGUAUUUCUUCAAUAAAUUUAAAGGGUCGGCUCUAACGGUUUCUUUCAUAUAUGUCAUCCCUACUGAGGUCAUGUUCGAUCCUGUUAAAAUUCGUCCUGAAAGGUUGACAGCUUUCAUGCAAAGAUUAUAAUCACAGAAGAGUUUAUGCAGAGGUUAAAAGCUCCUAAAGUAGAAGCAAAGGAAGAGAUGAAUCAGACACCUGAUUCAGAGCUGGAAACUCCUGUGAAGCUCAAGGCAAGCAUCCCGAGAAUUACAUGCUUUGCCAUCCUUGUUCCACGAAAGGUUCCCAUUUCUUCUACCUAUCAUUGAUUUUCUGUUUACAUUUGGUUAUUGUUUGGAUAGGGCAUUUAGAGGAUCUUUGCCUCCCCAACUUAGACCAUGAGAAAUAUAGAAAUGCAUGCUCAGAUUUUUCCAAGCACACACCGACACACAUCACACCUUCUGUUGUAUGCAGUAAUUACACAACGAAGUAAAUUGGAGAUAAGCUAACUCUAUUUAGGGGGUGUUUACUUUGUGGGGUAUGAUUGAUAGAUAGUGAAGACAAAGUGUACUUUAAAUGUGAGAUACAGAGACUGAACCAUACUAGGCGAAAGCCUGACUUAUAAAGGAAAAAAAUGUAGAGAAAAACAGCUUCUAGCUUUAUAGAAUUAGCGUAACGUGCUUCAUUUCUUCUUCUACUGAAAAACAAAUUUAUAGGAGACAGGAGUUGAUGGUCAUUGAUUUAGGUGAUCGAACAUUUUUCUCGUGUUUAAGCUUAGGUGCCGAAAAUUGGGAGUAUGAAGUGAGUAGGAACGAAUCCGUGGAUAUGCCUAUUAGUGGUAUUUUGGUACUUGAUGCAAUCUAUUAAUGGUAUGUUGCCAUGUUGGUACAUAGAUGCUAUAAUAAAUGGUGUUUUAUUUGCAUUAUUCGUCAUCAAUGCAUGCCACGUGUAUAGAUAUUGAAAGAAGGAAGCAGUCAAAAAACUCACUCGGAAAAGAACUGCUACUCCUUUUUCCUCUGAGCUCGCGUUUCUUGUCGUUGAUUAUGAAGUUUUGCUCAGGGAAGCCGAUGUGAGUACCUUGGAAUAAAAUAAAAUGGGUAGGAAUUGAUCAAUGUAUUCCAUCGAUCCAGUUAAACUGGAAUCGAUAGAAGAUCUUCAUUUUUCAUAAAAAAUGAAAAAAGAAAAGGGCAAAAUAUUAUCACUGGCCAUUCCUUAUAUUUUUUAGGGGAGAGGUUUAUGCAUGACGAAGAAAAGCUACAAAUAGAAUUAUUGAGUAACAAGUCACUAAAUAUUACUAUUAUUAUUGUAAUUUAGUGUGUAAUUUGCUCUGUCCUUUUCUCAGUUUUGACUUUUAAAAGUAAGUCAGUUAAAAUGUUUUCUAUGUUUCCGACCGGAAAAUGUGUGAAAAACUGAUUAAAACA